RNAcentral lists this ribosomal RNA (511 nucleotides) under Gymnopternus metallicus. RNAcentral's name for it is "partial 16S ribosomal RNA". It matches the Rfam family "Bacterial large subunit ribosomal RNA", at positions 1819 to 2597 of the family's 2925-position model. The record is from RNAcentral. Lineage: Eukaryota; Metazoa; Arthropoda; Insecta; Diptera; Dolichopodidae.
GUCUUUUUGAGUUUAAUUUAAAGUCUGAUCUGCCCACUGAUAAUAUUUAAGGGCCGCAGUAUUCUGACUGUGCAAAGGUAGCAUAAUCAUUAGUCUUUUAAUUGAGGGCUUGUAUGAAUGAUUGGACGAGAUAUAAUCUGUCUCAUAAAAAUUUAAGUAGAAUUUUAUUUUUUAGUUAAAAAGCUAAAAUAAAUUUAAAAGACGAGAAGACCCUAUAGAUCUUUAUAAUUUAUUUAUUAAUUUUUUUAGGUUAUUUUUUAAUUUUAUAAAUUAAAUUAUUUUGUUGGGGUGACAGUGAAAUUUAUAAAACUUUCAUAAUUUUUUGUUACAUUAAUUUAUGAUAAAUUGAUCCAUUUUUAGUGAUUAAAAAUUUAAGUUACCUUAGGGAUAACAGCGUAAUUAUUUUGGAGAGUUCUUAUCGAUAAAAUAGUUUGCGACCUCGAUGUUGGAUUAAGAUUAAUUCUGGGUGUAGCAGUUCAGGUUAUUAAGUCUGUUCGACUUUUAAUUUCUU